GGGUGGUGGUGGUGGGGUGGGGAAGCGAACUUGAAUCAGACUAUAAAUUUAUAAACCAAAUUUUAAAUUAACAAAGUUAUAGAAAAAUUCAAACAUUUUUCUCUUUUAUGUUUUGGUGUCUUGUGUUUGUGUUUACGGAAUCUAGUAAUGCAGAAGCAGAGAUUCAAUCAUUCAACUCUGUAAUGAGCCAAACAGAGAAGAUUCGAAAAUUAAAAACAGCAAAAGCAGAGAGCUGGUUACAAAUCUAAGCAAUCCAGUGAAAAAAUUGGAUAAUGAGAUAGAAGCACUGAUCAUAAAAGCCUGAAAAGUACACCAAAAUACAGAGGCGUAAUGAAGAAAAAUUUAGGAUUCAAAAAAAGAGAAUCAAUUAGAGAGAGAAAAAGAGGAUGAGCAUCAAAGCGCGCGAUAACCUGAGAAACGAUAGUGAAAACACAGGAGAGAGAGAGAGAGAGAGCCCGCAUUUACUGGUAGAAGUAGAGAGAUACUGUGGUUUUUAGCUCAUUGAAAGCUUCAAAGGCUACAGAGAGAGAUGGAUGAUUUGCAGUGAUGGUGACUGAAGAAGGAAACGGGCGAAGAGAAACGCAGCUACUCCGCAUUAUCUGUUGAAGUUUUCGGCUGAUUCGAUGGGACUGAGAGAGAGAGACAUGGAAAGCAGGACGCGGAAGCUACACUGAUUUAUUGGGGUGUG
Molecule: unclassified non-coding RNA, 688 nt
Filed under: Hevea brasiliensis (rubber tree)
Lineage: Eukaryota; Viridiplantae; Streptophyta; Magnoliopsida; Malpighiales; Euphorbiaceae
Source: RNAcentral